GACGAACGCUGGCGGCGUGCCUAACACAUGCAAGUCGAACGGAAAGGCCCUGCGUUUGUGCGGUGCUCGAGUGGCGAACGGGUGAGUAACACGUGAGUAACCUGCCCUUGACUUUGGGGUAACUUCAGGAAACUGGGGCUAAUACCGGAUAGGAUCCCCCGCUCCAUGGUGGGGGUUGGAAAGUUUCGCCGGUUGGGGAUGGACUCGCGGCUGACCAGCUUGUUGGUGGGGUAGUGGCUUACCAAGGCUUGGACGGGUAGCCGGCCUGGGAGGGUGACAGGCCCCAUAGGGCUAGGGAUAGGGCCAGGACGCAUUCGGGGGGAAGGAGUGGGAACUAUAGCACGAUGGGCGGAGGCCUGAUGCAGCAACGCCGGGUGCGAGAUGACGGCCUUCGGGUUGGAAACCGCUUUCGCCUGUAACGAAGCGUGAGUGAGGGUAAUGGAGAAAGAGGCACCGCUUACCUACGU
RNAcentral lists this ribosomal RNA (467 nucleotides) under uncultured bacterium. RNAcentral describes it as "partial 16S ribosomal RNA". It matches the Rfam family "Bacterial small subunit ribosomal RNA", at positions 28 to 506 of the family's 1533-position model. The record is from RNAcentral.